Molecule: unclassified non-coding RNA, 179 nt
Filed under: plant metagenome
Description: partial contains small subunit ribosomal RNA and internal transcribed spacer 1
Rfam family: Eukaryotic small subunit ribosomal RNA (bases 1-46)
Source: RNAcentral
AAGUCGUAACAAGGUUUCCGUAGGUGAACCUGCGGAAGGAUCAUUAAUGAAUACGGGCCUCGCGGCCCUGUUCUCAACCCUUUGUAUACCUGAACUAAGUUGCUUUGGCGGGCUCGCGCCCGCCAGAGGACCGAAACUCUUGAAUUAUUGCCGUCUGAGUCAUUAUAUAAUAAUCAAAA